RNAcentral lists this ribosomal RNA (772 nucleotides) under uncultured Abiotrophia sp. RNAcentral's name for it is "bacterial SSU rRNA". It matches the Rfam family "Bacterial small subunit ribosomal RNA", at positions 28 to 776 of the family's 1533-position model. The record is from RNAcentral. Lineage: Bacteria; Bacillati; Bacillota; Bacilli; Lactobacillales; Aerococcaceae.
GACGAACGCUGGCGGCGUGCCUAAUACAUGCAAGUCGAACGAACCGCGACUGAGUGCUUUGCACUUGGUCAAGGUGAGUGGCGAACGGGUGAGUAACACGUGGGUAACCUACCUCAUAGUGGGGGAUAACAGUCGGAAACGACUGCUAAUACCGCAUAGGACAUGGAAUCACAUGAUUCUGUGAGGAAAGGUGGCGCAAGCUAUCGCUAAGAGAUGGACCCGCGGUGCAUUAGCUAGUUGGUAGGGUAACGGCCUACCAAGGCGAUGAUGCAUAGCCGACCUGAGAGGGUGAUCGGCCACAUUGGGACUGAGACACGGCCCAAACUCCUACGGGAGGCAGCAGUAGGGAAUCUUCCGCAAUGGACGCAAGUCUGACGGAGCAACGCCGCGUGAGUGAAGAAGGUCUUCGGAUCGUAAAGCUCUGUUGUUAGAGAAGAACAGCGCAUAGAGUAACUGUUAUGCGUGUGACGGUAUCUAACCAGAAAGCCACGGCUAACUACGUGCCAGCAGCCGCGGUAAUACGUAGGUGGCGAGCGUUGUCCGGAUUUAUUGGGCGUAAAGGGAGUGUAGGCGGUCUUUUAAGUCUGAUGUGAAAGCCCACGGCUCAACCGUGGAGGGUCAUUGGAAACUGGGAGACUUGAGUGCAGAAGAGGAGAGCGGAAUUCCAUGUGUAGCGGUGAAAUGCGUAGAUAUAUGGAGGAACACCAGUGGCGAAGGCGGCUCUCUGGUCUGUAACUGACGCUGAGGCUCGAAAGCGUGGGGAGCAAACAGG